RNAcentral lists this unclassified non-coding RNA (368 nucleotides) under soil metagenome. RNAcentral's name for it is "partial contains 5.8S ribosomal RNA, internal transcribed spacer 2, and large subunit ribosomal RNA". The stretch from base 1 to 120 matches the Rfam family "5.8S ribosomal RNA", at positions 35 to 154 of the family's 154-position model. The record is from RNAcentral.
GAUGAAGAACGUAGCGAAAUGCGAUAAGUAAUGUGAAUUGCAGAAUUCAGUGAACCAUCGAAUCUUUGAACGCACAUUGCGCCCGGCAGUAAUCUGCCGGGCAUGCCUGUCCGAGCGUCAUUUCUGCCCUCGAGCGAGUCCAGCAUCUAGGUGCUGGGCCCGCCCGGCGUUGGGGCACUACGGGGAGCCCUGUGCUGUCCCCCGUAGGCCCCGAAAUGAAGUGGCGGUCCUGCCGCGGCGCCCCCUGCGUAGUAUAACAGCUCGCUUCGGGACCCGGUGGAGGCCUGCCGUCAAACCUUACUCUCUAAGUUUGACCUCGGAUCAGGUAGGGUUACCCGCUGAACUUAAGCAUAUCAAUAAGCGGAGGA